GAUAGCACCGGCUAACUACGUGCCAGCAGCCGCGGUAAUACGUAGGGUGCAAGCGUUAAUCGGAAUUACUGGGCGUAAAGCGUGUGUAGGCGGUUCGGAAAGAAAGAUGUGAAAUCCCAGGGCUCAACCUUGGAACUGCAUUUUUAACUGCCGAGCUAGAGUAUGUCAGAGGGGGGUAGAAUUCCACGUGUAGCAGUGAAAUGCGUAGAUAUGUGGAGGAAUACCGAUGGCGAAGGCAGCCCCCUGGGAUAAUACUGACGCUCAGACACGAAAGCGUGGGGAGCAAACAGGAUUAGAUACCCUGGUAGUCCACGCCCUAAACGAUGUCAACUAGCUGUUGGGGCCGUUAGGCCUUAGUAGCGCAGCUAACGCGUGAAGUUGACCGCCUGGGGAGUACGGUCGCAAGAUUAAAACUCAAAGGAAUUGACGGGGACCCGCACAAGCGGUGGAUGAUGUGGAUUAAUUCGAUGCAACGCGAAAAACCUUACCUACCCUUGACAUGUCUGGAAAGCCGAAGAGAUUUGGCCGUGCUCGCAAGAGAACCGGAACACAGGUGCUGCAUGGCUGUCGUCAGCUCGUGUCGUGAGAUGUUGGGUUAAGUCCCGCAACGAGCGCAACCCUUGUCAUUAGUUGCUACGCAAGAGCACUCUAAUGAGACUGCCGGUGACAAACCGGAGGAAGGUGGGGAUGACGUCAAGUCCUCAUGGCCCUUAUGGGUAGGGCUUCACACGUCAUACAAUGGUCGGGACAGAGGGUCGCCAACCCGCGAGGGGGAGCCAAUCUCAGAAACCCGAUCGUAGUCCGGAUCGCAGUCUGCAACUCGACUGCGUGAAGUCGGAAUCGCUAGUAAUCGCGGAUCAGAAUGUCGCGGUGAAUACGUUCCCGGGUCUUGUACACACCGCCCGUCACACCAUGGGAGUGGGUUUCACCAGAAGUAGGUAGCCUAACCGUAAGGAGGGCGCUUACCACGGUGGGAUUCAUGACUGGGGUGAAGUCGUAACAAGGUAGCGUAUACAUCACGCGAAU
Molecule: ribosomal RNA, 1026 nt
Filed under: uncultured Alcaligenes sp.
Lineage: Bacteria; Pseudomonadati; Pseudomonadota; Betaproteobacteria; Burkholderiales; Alcaligenaceae
Description: bacterial SSU rRNA
Rfam family: Bacterial small subunit ribosomal RNA
Source: RNAcentral